Long non-coding RNA from Gadus morhua (Atlantic cod), 397 nucleotides. RefSeq lists it as uncharacterized. The transcript is spliced from 3 exons. Lineage: Eukaryota; Metazoa; Chordata; Actinopteri; Gadiformes; Gadidae. The record is from RefSeq and is a predicted model, not a curated record.
UCACUGUCUAAUCAUCUUCUUCCAGUUACUGAUGGCGUCAUCGCCCUACUGGAACCAGAUGCCCUCACCAACCUCCAUGCAAUUGUAACAAUUCUUCACCUUCCACAGAUUAUAAAUAAUGUCUUGAUAAUUGCUGAACACAACUGUUAAUGUCAUUACAGGAAGAUGAUGGAGAAAACAUUGUCAGCGGCAUUUGAAAGGGAAGAGGAAAGGCCUAUUGAGGAUGAAGAGAGGCCAUCCACUUCUAAUUCACAGCUUACCUCUCUUCAGUCAAAGAGCUCUAUAAAAUCUAUCUGGAAAAAACAAAUAAAUAAAGCAGACUUGGAAAUGGACCACAUAAGGCAAAAGAUGCAAAAGGAUGCUUUGGAGAUCCAAAUUUUGGAACAUAAGUUAAAGG